RNAcentral lists this long non-coding RNA (199 nucleotides) under Zostera marina. Its description in RNAcentral is "long non-coding RNA (ZMAR_LNC001691)". The record is from RNAcentral. Lineage: Eukaryota; Viridiplantae; Streptophyta; Magnoliopsida; Alismatales; Zosteraceae.
UCUGUUGGGAUUAGUGCUUCCAUUCCAUAUGCUAGUGAGAACGGGGUUUCUCCGGUGGGUGUCUUUUCAGUGGUUCUAUACGCCCACAGGAUCUCUGGUAGUAGAUCUGCCCACGAACCUUUGGCCUGUUCGACUUUUUCUUCAGUCCCUGAACGAUGGCUCUGUUUGUGACUUCUACUUGCCCAUUACCCUGUGGUCU